UACCAUGCAGUCGAGCGGUAAGGCCCUUCGGGGUACACGAGCGGCGAACGGGUGAGUAACACGUGGGUGAUCUGCCUCGCACUCUGGGAUAAGCCUGGGAAACUGGGUCUAAUACCGGAUAUGAGCAGCCUCUGCAUGGGGGUUGUUGGAAAGGUUUACUGGUGCGAGAUGGGCCCGCGGCCUAUCAGCUUGUUGGUGGGGUAAUGGCCUACCAAGGCGACGACGGGUAGCCGGCCUGAGAGGGCGACCGGCCACACUGGGACUGAGACACGGCCCAGACUCCUACGGGAGGCAGCAGUGGGGAAUAUUGCACAAUGGGCGAAAGCCUGAUGCAGCGACGCCGCGUGAGGGAUGACGGCCUUCGGGUUGUAAACCUCUUUCGAACAGGGACGAAGCGCAAGUGACGGUACCUGUAGAAGAAGCACCGGCCAACUACGUGCCAGCAGCCGCGGUAAUACGUAGGGUGCGAGCGUUGUCCGGAAUUACUGGGCGUAAAGAGCUUGUAGGCGGUCUGUCACGUCGAUUGUGAAAACUCGCGGCUCAACCGCGAGCCUGCAGUCGAUACGGGCAGACUAGAGUACUUCAGGGGAGACUGGAAUUCCUGGUGUAGCGGUGAAAUGCGCAGAUAUCAGGAGGAACACCGGUGGCGAAGGCGGGUCUCUGGGAAGUAACUGACGCUGAGAAGCGAAAGCGUGGGUAGCGAACAGGAUUAGAUACCCUGGUAGUCCACGCCGUAAACGGUGGGUACUAGGUGUGGGUUUCCUUCCACGGGAUCCGUGCCGUAGCUAACGCAUUAAGUACCCCGCCUGGGGAGUACGGCCGCAAGGCUAAAACUCAAAGGAAUUGACGGGGGCCCGCACAAGCGGCGGAGCAUGUGGAUUAAUUCGAUGCAACGCGAAGAACCUUACCUGGGUUUGACAUACACCGGAAAGCCAUAGAGAUAUGGCCCCCCUUGUGGUCGGUGUACAGGUGGUGCAUGGCUGUCGUCAGCUCGUGUCGUGAGAUGUUGGGUUAAGUCCCGCAACGAGCGCAACCCUUAUCUUAUGUUGCCAGCGCGUAAUGGCGGGGACUCGUGAGAGACUGCCGGGGUCAACUCGGAGGAAGGUGGGGACGACGUCAAGUCAUCAUGCCCCUUAUGUCCAGGGCUUCACACAUGCUACAAUGGCCGGUACAGAGGGCUGCGAUACCGUGAGGUGGAGCGAAUCCCUUAAAGCCGGUCUCAGUUCGGAUCGGGGUCUGCAACUCGACCCCGUGAAGUUGGAGUCGCUAGUAAUCGCAGAUCAGCAACGCUGCGGUGAAUACGUUCCCGGGCCUUGUACACACCGCCCGUCACGUCAUGAAAGUCGGUAACACCCGAAGCCAGUGGCCUAACCCUUGUGGAGGAGCUUCAAGUG
Molecule: ribosomal RNA, 1394 nt
Filed under: Nocardia sp. WY1202
Lineage: Bacteria; Bacillati; Actinomycetota; Actinomycetes; Mycobacteriales; Nocardiaceae
Description: bacterial SSU rRNA
Rfam family: Bacterial small subunit ribosomal RNA
Source: RNAcentral